RNAcentral lists this ribosomal RNA (497 nucleotides) under uncultured bacterium. RNAcentral describes it as "partial 16S ribosomal RNA". It matches the Rfam family "Bacterial small subunit ribosomal RNA", at positions 28 to 507 of the family's 1533-position model. The record is from RNAcentral.
GAUGAACGCUGGCGGCGUGCCUAAUACAUGCAAGUCGAGCGAACAGACGAGGAGCUUGUUCCUCUGACGUUAGCGGCGGACGGGUGAGUAACACGUGGAUAACCUACUUAUAUGACUGGGAUAACUUCGGAAAUCCGGAGAUAAUACCGGAUAAUAUUUCGAACCGUAUGGUUCAAUGGUGAAUGACGGGUUUGCUGUUACGUCUAGAUGGUUUCGCGUCGCAUUAGCUAGUUGGUAAGGUCACGGCUUAGCAAGGUAACGGUGCGUAGCCGACCUGAGGGGGUGAUCGGCCACACUGGAACUGAGACACGGACCAGACUCCUACGAGAGGCAGCAGUAGGGAAUCUUCCGCAAUGGGCGAAAGCCUGACGGAGCAACGCCGCGUGAGUGAUGAAGGUCUUCGGAUCGUAAAGCUCUGUUAUUAGGGAAGAACAAAUGUGUAAGUAAAUAUGCACGUCUUGACGGUACCUAAUCAGAAAGCCACGGCUAACUACGUG